UAGCUGCCCAGGAGUCGGGUCGGCACCUCACUCUCUUGUACCUUGCCUUCUGCAUCGGAGCACCUGAUGAAAUCAGCCAUGCAUUAUGUACCAGGACCAGGACAUUAUUCACCAGGACCUAUUAACUUUACGAGCACCCGGCAAAGCUUAAAGGAGUGGAAGACAGUCAUUUGUUUGACUUUGAUUGCUCAACUACCAAAAACAUCCCCUCUGCCUGACGGUCACUCUGGCACACCAUCCAGAUCUUCAGCUGUGAAGAUACAACCAUACAAUGGGUUUGGAAAAAGGCAGCCAGGCAAAUAGCCCUCAUCAGGAAACCGCUGACUGUUUGUACGCCCACCCCUGGCAGGGAAGAGCCAAAAACCACCAGCCACACAGCAAAAGUGAAAACUACAAGCAGGCACUUUGGAAAGAGUUCCAGGGAAGUACACAAAAGCAGUUUUCAAUCCAAAUUUAAAAUCUGCAUUAGUCAUUUGCAGCAAAUUCUGAUGUAGCCAAAGAUGUUGCAAUUUAAGAGGAAAGAAAGUUGACAAACACUUCUCACCACAAAUUUAAACACUUGAUUUUAACAUAACAGUCUUUAGUUCUGUAACUUCAACACUACAGAAGGGUUGGCCUUGUGAGCUGCCAGUCUAACCUCGUCCUCCUUCAUGGGACUAUUUCUGCGCAUUUGCUAAUGAAAAGUUCCACAGAAAACAUCUAGGUAACACUGACUAGCUCUGUCUUUUAAAAGAACAGGAGUAAAAGCUCAUCUUCGCCCUCUCAGUGCCCAGCGAAAGUAAAACGCCAAACAAAACUGAAAUGUACAAAGCCAUGCGUUAACAAGAUCAGUCUCGUUUCUCAUUGUCUGAUGCUGAGCUUAAUCAGGCUCCUGCACUAUUUCCGGACGUGGAAGCGCAGCAGCAAUCACACCCAGUGUGAGCACUGCACUGAUACACUUGAGGCAUCUUCAUCUUGCAGACAGAGAGGGAAACCAUCCUCCCCACCAGGACCACGCGAACCUGCGCCGAGGCAGGACCCACACUCCCGAGAGAGGGGCUGUUGGGUGGGCACACAGAGCGAACCAGCCCCGGCACCUUUUGCUUUUGCCACACUGAGGCAGCAACCGCCACCGGCUGCUGCCCUUGCAACACCGGGGACGUGUUUUCUUGCUGCGAAGGGGAAGUGAGGGCUCACUUCUGCCCACUUCCCCCUGCUUCCCCAGGCAUUUCAGCUGGCACAAGACAUGGUUGUCACCUCCGGCCGCUCUCCUCCGGUCCAGUCCCCUCAAGAGAAAAAAAGAGCUUCCUUUGAUGGGCUUGUAGGGAGACAGAGAACAAGACACUGGUUUCUGUCUCUUCUGAAAUAUUUAAUCACAGCACAACUUUCCCCAUCGACCCAUUUGUAACACAUACCAUGUCUCUAGCCGGCAUGAGAAUUAAGAGCAUUUCAGUUAAAACAAUACUGUCUUUUUCAUCAAACAAAAUUACUUCUUGUGAAUAUUAUGUGCCAUUUGAAGAAGUACACUGAGGUUAUAGCCUCUUAGUUCCGGAGAUCUCAUGCUCGAUACAAAUUCGGCACAAACAUGGACUUGUAAACCUUGCUGCUCUGCUGGCUAAGGAGAAAGAAACUAGUACAACAGCAGGUUUCAGUUGCAAGAUUUUUUUGCCAUACAAAAAGGAACAGAAAUGCAGGUUAAACGGAGUUCACAGGAACCUAAUCUUUAAUUAAUCUUUGAAAUAAAUGCCUGACCUCACACAUACUUUCCAGUUAAAACUCAACAUUCCUGAAGGGAGCUUUGCUGCCUAAUCCAACAAGCUCCCCACCCCUCUUUUUUUAACUAAAUACACAAUCUUACUUAAAUUCAUUCUCUAAAAUUGUUGAACAAAGAGCAAUUAUUUAAAAGGUUUCCUUAAAAAGACACCAUAGAAGAACCACAACGUAGUGUGUUGUGCUGAGCAUCUAGCACAACACAGUCUCCACUAAUAAAACAUACUUAGCUUAGAUGUA
Columba livia (rock pigeon) is the source of this 1989-nucleotide long non-coding RNA. RefSeq lists it as uncharacterized. Lineage: Eukaryota; Metazoa; Chordata; Aves; Columbiformes; Columbidae. The transcript has 2 exons. The record is from RefSeq and is a predicted model, not a curated record.